CAUUGACUGAGUCAAACCAAACUACACAAUGUAAAGGGCAUACAUUUCUUUCAAGUUACUGCAUUCAAUGUUAGUUUUGCUGCCUGCGUUUCGCUGAUCUCAUUUUUUCAAAUCUUGACUCCAUUUCUUCCAGGACCUUCGGUGUGUAUCUUACAACCAAUUUUACCUUUCCUUGGGCUGCCUUCAGUAGUUCUACUGCUUUUUCAUGGUGUUCACCUUCGACACUCACUCCAUUUACAGAAAGAAGCUGGUCUCCACGUUUCAGGCCUCCGUGCCUAUCAGCUAUACCACCAGGGAUAAUUCGGGAGAUAUAGAUCGGAGAAUUUUGUUCUUUGCCUCCCAUGAUGUUGAAUCCAAGACCUUCUUCGGUUUUUGGCAGUUCAACCACUCUGGGAUGCGAAUGACCUUCACUUGCAGCAAAUGCUGCUACAGUGGCCUUUGCUGUUGCAUUAGCUCUCACUUCUGGGCUACUGCUGAUAUCCACAGUUUCAUACACAUGUUCAUACACCUCCCUUACAGCAUUACAGAAUUCACUUUGAAGGACCCUUUGCAAAGCCUGUAGUUUCUGUGGUGGCACUUCUCCACUUCUCUGUAAUUUUUCCAGCAACUCAAUUGCUCUGCAAAUAUCUCGCUCCAGACGCACCGGCUCACCCAACGCCGCCAUCUUGUCCUCGCCGCGGUCCCGCCGGAAGUGACGCAGCCCACACGGAAGAAUGAGCGAGGCGCGGUCCCGCCUUGCCUUGGUGUCGCCUGCCAUGCAUGUCCUGUGAGGAGGAGUGGUCGCCGAGUCGAUCGGGCUGGUGUAGGAUAAAUAAAGCAGUCUUGACUAAAGUAGCUACUGUUUGUCGUGUUUCCUCACCGCGACGCGCUCGACCACUCCUACUCCCCAUUAACACACAAAAAGCACCGCCUACGGAGCGCAUAUCUGUUCAUGAGCCAUGAGUGCCCCUGGAGACAGAAUUAUAUAUAAAUCCACUUCUCCCCGUGGGAAAUGUGGAGCAUGUGGUUUGCGUGUCUGUUUGGCACCGGGUUUAUCUACGUGUGGGGCUAACACUAUAUGUAACGUCUGUAUUAAAUUGGAGAUAAGUGACGUACUCAGGCUUUUUCUGGAAGAGAGUAGGAGACCACUUCAGCACAUUUAUUUAUACAUUAAUUUAUUCUACAGGCUUAGCUCUCCGUGUUUGGCUUUGAUUUAGUCUGUGCCUGGUGUUUGCAGCUCUGAAAGAGAAGGGUUCUCAACAGGCCUCCAAAUGUCAGCUAAUGUGAUGGUGAUGUACUCCCUCCCUUCUGUGAUUCAUUUUAAUGCCAGCUCCUUUCAGUUUGAAGGAUGCCAUGUGUGCUUUUCAAUGAAAAGGUCAUACGAAUGGAAUUCUGCAGGUGAACAAAAUUAAAUCCUCACAGGCUUGUUUCCUGCAAGAAAAAGUGUUUGAGCAGCUGGAAGUGCAGAGUGUUUCUGGAAUAAAACCCAGAUGAUUCUAUCACACUGGAGCAAGAAUGGCCACUCUGUUACCAGACUGAAAUUGUAAAUAGC
Molecule: long non-coding RNA, 1531 nt
Filed under: Gallus gallus (chicken)
Lineage: Eukaryota; Metazoa; Chordata; Aves; Galliformes; Phasianidae
Source: RNAcentral